UUCCGCAAGCUCACAUGGUUACUCAGUAAAGCUAAGCAGGGCUGCACCCGGUCACUACCUGGAUGGGAGACCACAUGGGAAAGCUAGGUUGAUGCUGGAA
RNAcentral lists this ribosomal RNA (100 nucleotides) under Danio rerio (zebrafish). Lineage: Eukaryota; Metazoa; Chordata; Actinopteri; Cypriniformes; Danionidae. The record is from RNAcentral.